This is a long non-coding RNA of Oreochromis aureus, 2569 nucleotides long. Lineage: Eukaryota; Metazoa; Chordata; Actinopteri; Cichliformes; Cichlidae. The record is from Ensembl.
UAAAAGAGUGUGAAAAUCAUUAGAUCUAUUUGAUUGACCUGUAUUACUCGACACUGUUGAAUGUGUUACACUGUUUCUUGACAUUUCAUACUGCUGAAUCAUGAAGAGAAUGUUGUGUGCAGGAGACCUUGUGUCUAGAAUAGAAGAAACAGACCACAUUCCAUACCCCCACCUUUACGGAGAGCAGAAAAACAAGGAGCCGAGGUCAUAACUUAGGCGCCGUGUGAGAGAAAGAAUGUGAAUGUUUAGGCUUUUACGACUAGGUGGGGGCUACUAGGAGCUAUAAGAAGCUGAGUAACCCGUCACCAUUUUGAGACUUGCUGUGACCCUCUGCAGGCAGGUCUCCCCAUCAUGAUGGUUCUUAUGCUCUUAAGUGUUGAAUUAUAUGGAAAUAAAGUAUUGUUGAUCGAGCAUUUAUACACCGAGUAUUGUCCUUCCUUCAGCCCAAAGAUUAAAAGAAUUGGGAGAUUUUAACAAUUGCAACUGCAACUAAACAAUCACAAUGGAGAUAUGUAAGCUCAAAGGAAAGUCCAGCAGAUGAUGCUACAAGAGGGCUCAAGGCUGGGAACAUUGUUCAUAGCAGCCGCUGGAUCGAAGGACAAAGCUUUCUGCAGAAGCCAGAAAGUAAUUGGCCAACCAAUCUAAUGGAAUGCUCCUUAGAACCAGAGGACCCUGAAGUCAAAAGUGAGGCCACAGUGAAUGUUACUUGAGUAAAAGACUUGCUUGGUGCUACAUGUCAGUUGAUGGUGUACUUCUCAGACUGGAGAAGGCACAAGGUUGCUGUUGCUUGGUUCCUUAGACUGAAGGCAAUCCUUCGUUCAAUGAGAGAUAAGAAGAGAAGACCGCAACCUAACUUGGAUAACCCAAUUUGUAAAGGUACUACAAAGGAGAAAGUAAUGAAAACACAACUGUAUAGACUGUCUUCACAGGAUCUUCUGGAAGCUGAGCUUGCCAUUAUUAGAUUUUGAUAGCCACAAAGAUUUGGAGAGGAGAUAGCUGCGUUGUCAAGUGGGAAAGGUUCUGUGAGCAGGCACAGCUCAAUUUAUAGAUUAGAUCCUUAUCUUGAUGAUGAAGGCCUCUUAAGAGUUGGGGGACGACUGACAAAGGGCUCCUUGCCAGAAGAAAUGAAGCAUCCCUUUGUUCUUGCAAAGGAUCAACAUGUAGCAAGUCUCAUCCUAGAGCACAUUCAUCAACAGCUUGGUCAUAGCGGUCGUAACCACACCUUAUCCACAGUAAGGAGAAAAUACUGGAUCACAAAGGCCAACUCAGCUGUAAGGAAAGUUAUCGCAGAAUGUAAUUUUUGCAGAAAAUAUCAUGGAAAAGCCUUGGAGCAAAAGAUGCCAGAUUUACCCAAGGAAAGUCAGAGUUGAUUACUUCGGACCUAUUGAAGUGAAAAGAGGACCAGGUACAGCUAAAUGUUAUGGAGUCAUUUUCACCUGUUUAGCCAACCGAGCAUUGCACUUGGAAGUGGCUAGCUCUCUAAGCACAGAUGCCUGCAUUAAUGCUUUGCGCCAUUUUGUGAGUGGAAGAGGUCAAGUCGCUCACAUCCAAUCGGACAAUGGAACCAACUUUGGUGGAGCAGACAGAGAAUUAAGGGAGGCUCUUGAAUCACUGAAACAUACUCAAAUAGCGGAUGCUUUGUGACACAUUGGAAUAAAAUGGAGUUUUAAUCCGCCUGGAGCAUCACAUCAUGGUGGAAUUUGGGAACGGAUAAUUCGUAUGAUCAGAAAUAUUCUGAGAUCUGUUCUUCAGCAACAACAGUUGGACGACGAUGGAUUAAAUACGGUUCUGUGUGAAAUUGAAGCAAUUCUAAAUGACAGACCCAUCACAAAGCUUUCUGAUGAUCCAAAAGACCUAGAGCCACUUACACCAAAUCACAUCCUCCUGAUGAAAGGAAAACCAUCUUUACCACCCAGACUAUUUGACCCUCAGGAUAUGUAUCUGAAGAGAAGAUGGAAACAGGCUCAGUACAUCUCAGAUCUUUUUUGGAAACGAUGGAUACGUGAAUACCUGCCUUUGUUACAGGAGAGACAAAAAUGGAACCAAAGGAAGAAGAAUCUAAAACCUGGAGAUAUGGUGAUUAUAAUGGAUUCUUCUGCACCACGUGGUUCCUGGCCACUUGGAAAAGUUCCGGAAACCAUUCAUGACAAAAAAGGACUUGUGCGAUCUGCACCUUUAAAAACAAAGACUAAUAUUCUGGAAAACCUGUAACUUAACUUUGCUUGUUACAUGAGACUGUAAUCUAAAAUGAAUGUAUAUGUCUAAAGUAGUCUGUAUUAGUGGCUCCUUAUUUUCUUUGUGAUUAGAAUUGCCAUGUCUGAUAGCCAUUGGAAUUAGGGGCUGGGGUGUAGGAGCCAUUUUUGGGUUAAUACCUUAUGUGGCCGCUAGAGGUCACCUUUUUCUGUUUUGUUCAUGUAAAGGUAUUUAAGGUAGACGCAUGUAAUCAGCGUCAGGUGUGUCGUUAAUUGUGAGAAGGCAAACAGUUUGUGACCGCUGCGCUGUCAUGUCAAGAAGGUAUUGGAAUAAAGAACAAAAAGGACAAGAUACGUACUGCUGGAUUCAUUGGACU